GAAACCUGAUUAAGUAAAAUGACUUUCCAAAACCAAGUUUAUGAACUAUUUGCGACUAAAUACAGAUGAGUAAAACUUACUAAAAAUAUUCCAAUUUUUCGUUGUUUUAAUCAAAAUUUAACCAAAUUAAAUUAACUAACUUAUUUAAUAUAAGUAUUUUACAUUAUUUUAUGCGCACCAUUUUUCUGAGUGUAUGGAAUAAAACUGUUUAAACUUUGCUCUACUGAGGGAUUUACCUGGUCAUUGAAAAUAUAUUCUGAAGAAUGAGCUACUGGGUAAAACCCACCCUGUCGGCACUCUUCGCGCAAACAAGAAAUAAUUGCCAAUAGAAGUGAUGAAUUCUGCGCUUAAAAAGGGAGAAUUGAUGGCCAAAGAAGAUGAAAAUGGGAAAUUGGCAAUUGAAUUGUUACUUGGCCUGUCAAUAGUAAAACCACAUUGUUUAUAAGGAAGCUACAAAGAAAAACAUCAACAUAUGCAAAUUCCGUCAACGUGGAGCAGAUGUUAGAUCCAAAAGGUCAUUAGAUUAGAUCCAAAAGGUCAUUACCACCUCAAUCAGUUAACCCCGGUAAAAUCGUUAUAACUAUAAGGGUAGAUGCCAAUAAUAAAGCAAUUCGACGUUCUUUUGUUUUUUGUUACGCAACUGCAAAAAAAAAGCUGAAUCGUAAAACGCUAGGAAAAAACUUUCAGCGUCAAAGGCGAACGUGGUACGGUGGCCUCCUGUAAUAUUAUAUAAAUUUAAAAAAAAAAUUUAAUACAUUCUUCACUUAAUAAAACCUCAAAAAUUCAUCAUGCAUGCUUUUGCAAAAA
Molecule: long non-coding RNA, 807 nt
Organism: Stomoxys calcitrans (stable fly)
Lineage: Eukaryota; Metazoa; Arthropoda; Insecta; Diptera; Muscidae
Exons: 2
Source: RefSeq, a predicted model, not a curated record